UUUUACAUUUUAACCUAGUACUUGAGUUCAUUUUAUGUAUGUGGUGAUUGGUUUUAGCUUUUUAGAUUUUUUAUCUACCUCAUACUCAACUUUGAUAAAAAAAUUUAGGUAUAAUAAUGCCAAUAUUACUUUUAUUAUUUGGUCUGUACAACUAUUUGCAUCUGUCUGAAAGAUUGAUUUUUAUACAUCAAACACCAUAUUAAAUGCAAAUUAUCUCCCUUGAUAACUUAUGAGUUAUCUACUCUGAUUAUAGAAUGAAAUAAAUAACUAUUCAAGAUCCUGCAUUUUGCAGUUUUUAAAAAUAACUAUUUCUGAAUUUGAUUUGAAAUUGAUAUUUAAUUUAGUACCAUAUCAUAACUAGGUUGCAAACAAUCUAUUUUUAACUUAACAUUUUAUACUCUAUUUUCUUUUUUGAUGUAUUUUCUUUUCAAGCAUUUCUCUAUUAAUAAACCAAUUUAAACAAUUUAUUGCAUGAGAUAAAAUUACAGUAUAAAAAAGUUUUGAUUAAACAAAAUUUGAAAAGAAAUUGAAAAUGUAUUUAUAUUUGAAAUGUUACCAAAGGGUGCUCUUUUGUAAAUGAGAAAUACAUGAAAUAUAAGUUACAGUAAGAAUGCAAGUAGAUGUAGUGUCUAUAAGGUACCUCCUAAACAGCAACACACAAACACACAUAGCCUUCUUUUGUCUGCUUUUGAUUUAAUUCUACAGCAAGCUACCUAUGUCAAAUUAUUAACCCUAUAUUUUAUCAAAAGUAGAAUCUGUGGUUUAAAAACUCAGUUUUUUUUUUUACUUUUUAUUUUAAUAUUCUUUAAAUAUAGAAUGAUAUGCCAAUGUUUUGAAUAACAUAAGUUAAU
RNAcentral lists this long non-coding RNA (851 nucleotides) under Mytilus galloprovincialis (Mediterranean mussel). Lineage: Eukaryota; Metazoa; Mollusca; Bivalvia; Mytilida; Mytilidae. The record is from RNAcentral.